GAAACGGCGCCGAAGAUGACUCGUCGCCGCUUCACCACCAAGCUGCCGCUGAGUCACGUGAUCAACGACAGCAGCAGCACGUCUACUAGCACGCGGACCGUCGGCGCCGACGGCACCGUGACGACGAGGUCGAGCUCGAAAUCGACGAGGCGGUACGGCGCGACGUCGAACGCCGUCAACGGCGACUGGUAAAGUAUGAAGACGUCACAGAUAAGAAAAGCACGAAACGAGUAGCUAACAAUGUGCAUCCCAUUGUUGUGACAUCUUCGUGUGUGUGACGUGACAUGGAGAGACAUCUUGCUUCUACCGUCACGAGUAGUCACCAACAAACGAACGCUCGGCGCGAAACGUUUAGAGCAAUAUAAAAUCUAUUUUAUGUUAUUAACGUUAUUUGUGGUGUAAAUCUCUGAGUUGUCGCGCACGCGUUGCGUGGACGCGAUGCUAGACAAUAUGAGUCUGUAACACGCCUUGCCGUUUGUCAGAAUUCUAUCGAGUGGUUGAGUCGUUCCCCUGAUUAAAGCCAGACGGUUAUUAGAUUUGAUUGUACAGGUUGUCGUAUUUAUUUUGUGGGAGUGUGAGCGCACUGGCACGAGACUUGCUUUCCCCUCUGUCUGCUGAACAACGUAAUCGACAUCAUGUAGUUGAGGGCAUCAGCAGCCAUUGUGGUUUGCGAGCCGUGGCAGUGGAAGCUCCUUCUGUGUUUUCUUCGCUACUUGUUUUGCUGAUUCAAUGUACAGGCUGUUUAUAGCGGUUAGUAGUACACUGUGGUCCGUGGUCAGAAACGUCAGAAAUAGUUCUGGCUAUCUUAAGUCUAAAAUGUCACAACUUUUGCGCGUCAAUUCACUGCAAGAGUUUUAAGCAUUUUAAAAAGACAUUUUUUGCUUUACGGUGUCAUAAUCACUUGUGCUGUUUCUGACUACCAACGGGCAUUCGGUCAUUCUGGUAAUAUGCACGAGACAAUGCUGAGUGGAUGCUGUAAUAGAGAUAAAUAACUUAACAUCAACUUGAGGGCUUCAGCAAACAUUCAGUGUUGCCUUGUGCGCGCGGGUGACCGUGGGUUUCUAUGAUUCUGCGAAUAUUCUCCGUAUAGCUGCAUGCCUUGCUUUACAUGUUGUUUUUUUUGGUGUACAGCUUACGCUCACGUAGGCAGAUAUCAUACUUUACAUGCUUAUCGUAGUGCUUGUCUCGCCUCUAGCAUCAUCUUCUGUGGGAUGAUGACCCGUUUCAAGCGUUGGAGGAAUUCAGCAGUAACCAGGGCUUUUGUUGUGUUGAUCGUGGCCUUUACUCGUAAGUAUGCGGCCCGAUCCAACUGGUCCGGUGCCGGCAAGCCUAAUCGGCGCUCUACGCUUGCAUCUACCAGGGCUGUCGGACUGUUUUGAUGUGUUUUAGGGAAAGAUAAAAAAAAUUAUAUAAAAUAAUAAUUAUACUAAUAGUAUUAUUAUUUCUAUGGUUUCCGCGUGGCGCAGGCUUGUAUAUAGAGGGAUGCCCUGCACGAAUCGCGGAACGAAUGAGGUUGUUCAGAACGGGAGCCGAGUUCCGCGAAGCAAUACUAGUCUAUAAACACUUGCGUACAUCGCGCGGCGCGGCACCUGAUCAAUUCGUAUAGAAAACCUCAACUCUAUAGCAUCGUCGUCGAUGCAAAGGGUUGCGAGUUGCGAGAAGUAGUUGAAACGAGUAACUGCAGAGGAUACAGCACACUGUAUAUAUUCUGUGAUGGCCGUUGGAACUCGGCUUUCGAGCUCAAGUCAAGCUGUGCAAUGUCUAUUAGAGUUACGACCGUCGUUUGUGCGUUGAUGAUUGAUAUCUAUUUGGCAAUAGGAACGAGUGUUCCUUGAUGACUAUUUAUUUUGAAGAGGGAUAUUAUGGGGAAUCACACCUUCAUAUUAUUAGUUCAAGAACGUAUGCUCCUAAAUAAAGGCCGUUGUUCAAUGUA
Long non-coding RNA from Priapulus caudatus, 1933 nucleotides. RefSeq lists it as uncharacterized. The record is from RefSeq and is a predicted model, not a curated record. Lineage: Eukaryota; Metazoa; Priapulida; Priapulimorpha; Priapulimorphida; Priapulidae. The transcript has 2 exons.